Molecule: ribosomal RNA, 444 nt
Filed under: uncultured bacterium
Lineage: Bacteria
Description: bacterial SSU rRNA
Rfam family: Bacterial small subunit ribosomal RNA
Source: RNAcentral
CCAGACUCCUACGGGAGGCAGCAGUGGGGAAUAUUGCACAAUGGGGGAAACCCUGAUGCAGCGACGCCGCGUGAAGGAAGAAGUAUUUCGGUAUGUAAACUUCUAUCAGCAGGGAAGAAAAUGACGGUACCUGACUAAGAAGCCCCGGCUAACUACGUGCCAGCAGCCGCGGUAAUACGUAGGGGGCAAGCGUUAUCCGGAUUUACUGGGUGUAAAGGGAGCGUAGGCGGUUUAGCAAGUCAGAAGUGAAAGCCCGGGGCUCAACUCCGGGACUGCUCUGGAAACUGUACGGCUGGAGUGCAGGAGAGGUAAGUGGAAUUCCUAGUGUAGCGGUGAAAUGCGUAGAUAUUAGGAGGAACACCAGUGGCGAAGGCGGCUUACUGGACUGUAACUGACGUUGAGGCUCGAAAGCGUGGGGAGCAAACAGGAUUAGAUACCCCUGUA